UACGUAGGGUGCGAGCGUUGUCCGGAAUUAUUGGGCGUAAAGAGCUCGUAGGCGGUUUGUCGCGUCUGCUGUGAAAACCUAAGGCUCAACCUUGGGCUUGCAGUGGGUACGGGCAGACUAGAGUGCGGUAGGGGUGACUGGAAUUCCUGGUGUAGCGGUGAAAUGCGCAGAUAUCAGGAGGAACACCGGUGGCGAAGGCGGGUCUCUGGGCCACUACUGACGCUGGAGAAGCGGAAAAGCAUGGGGAGCGAACAGG
RNAcentral lists this ribosomal RNA (256 nucleotides) under uncultured bacterium. RNAcentral's name for it is "partial 16S ribosomal RNA". It matches the Rfam family "Bacterial small subunit ribosomal RNA", at positions 524 to 776 of the family's 1533-position model. The record is from RNAcentral.